This 119-nucleotide ribosomal RNA is filed under the name Pteropus alecto (black flying fox). The record is from RNAcentral. Lineage: Eukaryota; Metazoa; Chordata; Mammalia; Chiroptera; Pteropodidae.
GUCAGCGGUCAUGCCACCCUGAACGUGCCCAAUCUUGUCUGAUCUCGGAAGCUAAGCAGGGUCAGGCCUGGUUAGUACUUGGAUGGGAGACCACCUAGGAAGACCAGGUGCUGUAGGCG